UACGUAGGGUGCAAGCGUUGUCCGGAAUUAUUGGGCGUAAAGAGCUCGUAGGCGGUUUGUCGCGUCUGCUGUGAAAACUCAGGGCUUAACUCUGAGCUUGCAGUGGGUACGGGCAGACUAGAGUGCGGUAGGGGAGACUGGAAUUCCUGGUGUAGCGGUGAAAUGCGCAGAUAUCAGGAGGAACACCGGUGGCGAAGGCGGUUCUCUGGGCAUGUCCUGACGCUGAGGAGCGAAAGUGUGGGGAGCGAACAGG
RNAcentral lists this ribosomal RNA (253 nucleotides) under uncultured bacterium. RNAcentral describes it as "partial 16S ribosomal RNA". It matches the Rfam family "Bacterial small subunit ribosomal RNA", at positions 524 to 776 of the family's 1533-position model. The record is from RNAcentral.